CCUACGGGGGGCAGCAGUCGAGAAUCAUUCACAAUGGGGGAAACCCUGAUGGUGCGACGCCGCGUGGGGGAAUGAAGGUCUUCGGAUUGUAAACCCCUGUCAUGUGGGAGCAAAUUAAAAAGAUAGUACCACAAGAGGAAGAGACGACUAACUCUGUGCCAGCAGCCGCGGUAAUACAGAGGUCUCAAGCGUUGUUCGGAAUCACUGGGCGUAAAGCGUGCGUAGGCUGUUUCGUAAGUCGUGUGUGAAAGGCGCGGGCUCAACCCGCGGACGGCACAUGAUACUGCGAGACUAGAGUAAGGGAGGGGGAACCGGAAUUCGCGGUGUAGCAGUGAAAUGCGUAGAUAUCGAGAGGAACACUCGUGGCGAAGGCGGGUUCCUGGACAUUAACUGACGCUGAGGCACGAAGGCCAGGGGAGCGAAAGGGAUUAGAUACCCGUGUAGUC
RNAcentral lists this ribosomal RNA (446 nucleotides) under uncultured bacterium. Its description in RNAcentral is "partial 16S ribosomal RNA". It matches the Rfam family "Bacterial small subunit ribosomal RNA", at positions 338 to 795 of the family's 1533-position model. The record is from RNAcentral.